GUUUCGUAUCAAAUCCUAAAGAUAAAUGAAGAAUCCAAUUCCAUGUGGUUGUUGAGUGUUAGUUCUAAUGUGUUGAUUUAUCAUUGCUGCUUUGCUUGAUGAUACCAUGCGUUAUUUGAUUCAUUUCUGCUCUGCCACUACAACUUUAAAGGAAGUGAAAGGAAUAGGUUAAUGUUAGAUGGAAUAGCCAUUUUGGGUUAAGUCAUAAGUGUAUCAGAGGCUGCAACUUGAAACUUUAAGUUCACUUUCCUAUAUAGACAAUCUCCUUCCAAGCAUGUUCCUUGGUGAAACGGAGAAAUAACUGGCUAUUUCAAACCAAAGGGGGCACGGAUAAGCCCAAUUAUAAGUUAUAACUGCUUAAAAUAGCAAAAUUUUGAAUGCAUAACUUUCUAAUACAUUCAAAUCCAUGGCAAGAUAGUGUUUUUCCACCCUCCAUAUAGUAGCAUGAUGACAUGAUGUUGAGAGAUCAUGCAUGAUGGCAUCUACUUUGCUUUGGGAAGUUGUUUUAUUUCCUACUGUUUUGUGAUGCUCUUAUUGCUUAUAAAUGUUGCUUAUUUCUUUAACCUUUUGCACCCAGAAUCCUGAAAUAUCAUUGCUUUUAUUUAGGCAUUUUGCAUAAAACAUCAUUUGGACUUGAAAACUUCAUGCUACAGUUUUGUAGAGAGUCCUAUUUUAUAAAGUGGAGCUGAAAUAGCAAGCUUAGUUAUAGGUGGCUUGUGGGUCUAGCUAUUCUUUUUAUUUGUAAUAACAAGAGGAUCAUGCUUAUCCUGUAGUUAAGCAUUCUAUGCUUUUUGGACAUAAUAAUGGAUGCUUUAUAUGCACAAAAGAAAAUUUCUGUGCUUUCAUAUUUUAUUUUCUGAUGCAGAACAGCUGUGGGUUUUGGAUUCUGUCCCUGGAGAAGUUAGCUCUGAAAACAGUGAUGGAGAAGUCGAGAAAGUCUUGAAGACAUUGCAGAGUUUACCUGCAUCCCUUCCUUCACGAAAGUGGCUUGUGAAUCACAUGAUUGAACUAGGGUUCUGUAAGCCAACAGCAGAAUGGAUUAGUAACUAUCUAAAGAAAUCUGGAGAACAGGAGAUGUGGUCUUUUAAUCCUGAAGGUGCCAUCCAGAUGUUCGAUUCUUACUGGUCAAUCUCUCUUCCUAAUGAAUCAGCUUCUUUAAAUGCCCUUCUUUGUAGAAUGAAUAAUGGCAAUAAUGAUGCUUCAAGUUUUGCUUUAUGUUUCUUUUGCUUCCCUUGCACUGCCUCUAUACAUUUUCCCCGUGUUAGUUAAAGAAUGAAUGUCAAAUUCUCUAGGGAGUCAUCAUAUUGGUCUUUACUGGAACACCCACCAAAAGGAAUGGAGAUCAAUAUUUUGGUCGCAGAGAAGAGUGACUGUUGGGAGCCAGAUGUAAUUCAGCGACUUGAAAGUCUUGACAGUCAGAAAGGAAGUGGAUCUGAGGGUAAGGUUUCACUUCAUGUUCUUCCAAACUCUGGGCACUGGCUUCAUGUGGACAAUCCAAAGGGUCUUCUUCAGAUUGUGGCGUCAAAGAUCGUUUCUCUUUCAGCAUUAAUGCAUAGCUAUAGUUCAAGGGAUUCAUCAUAAAGGAGUAUCAUGGGUAUUGUCUUUAUCCCUUAUCGUAAUGCAAUAAAAUGUUAAUUGACACAUAUCAUGAUUCAUGAAUAAUCUAAUUUUUUGAUAAAAUAUUUAUCGGCAUUUUAGCUUGUUGCAUAUAGGAAUAUAUAGCCCAAAACUUUCGAGUUUCAUGGACUGUAUUGGUACUUUAUUUUCUUUUAAUUGCUUGUUUAACAUAUGUAUGUUGAGCCUAAGUGUUUUCGAUUUCUU
Molecule: unclassified non-coding RNA, 1821 nt
Filed under: Hevea brasiliensis (rubber tree)
Lineage: Eukaryota; Viridiplantae; Streptophyta; Magnoliopsida; Malpighiales; Euphorbiaceae
Source: RNAcentral